GUAUGACUCUCGGCAAUGGAUAUCUUGGCUCUUGCAUCGAUGAAGAGCGCAGCGAAAUGCGAUACGUGGUGUGAAUUGCAGAAUCCCGUGAACCAUCGAAUUUUUGAACGCAAGUUGCGCCCGAGGCCAAUUGGCUAAGGGCACGUCCGCCUGGGCGUCAAGC
RNAcentral lists this ribosomal RNA (163 nucleotides) under Goodyera procera. Its description in RNAcentral is "5.8S ribosomal RNA". It matches the Rfam family "5.8S ribosomal RNA". Rfam says of the family: 5.8S ribosomal RNA (5.8S rRNA) is a component of the large subunit of the eukaryotic ribosome. It is transcribed by RNA polymerase I as part of the 45S precursor that also contains 18S and 28S rRNA. Lineage: Eukaryota; Viridiplantae; Streptophyta; Magnoliopsida; Asparagales; Orchidaceae. The record is from RNAcentral.